Molecule: ribosomal RNA, 400 nt
Filed under: uncultured bacterium
Lineage: Bacteria
Description: bacterial SSU rRNA
Rfam family: Bacterial small subunit ribosomal RNA
Source: RNAcentral
UGGGGAAUAUUGGACAAUGGGCGCAAGCCUGAUCCAGCCAUGCCGCGUGAGUGAUGACGGCCUUAGGGUUGUAAAGCUCUUUCGUCCGGGACGAUAAUGACGGUACCGGAAGAAGAAGCCCCGGCUAACUUCGUGCCAGCAGCCGCGGUAAUACGAAGGGGGCUAGCGUUGUUCGGAAUCACUGGGCGUAAAGGGCGCGUAGGCGGCUUUGUAAGUCGGGGGUGAAAGCCUGUGGCUCAACCACAGAAUUGCCUUCGAUACUGCGAGGCUUGAGACCGGAAGAGGUCAGUGGAACUGCGAGUGUAGAGGUGAAAUCCGUAGAUAUUCGCAAGAACACCAGUGGCGAAGGCGGCUGACUGGUCCGGAUCUGACGCUGAGGCGCGAAAGCGUGGGGAGCAAA